GUGGAGGAGAGAGGAGGAGAAAGAGGAGGAGAGAGAGAGGGGGGGAGGAGAGGAGAAAGAGGAGAGAAGAAGGGGGUGGAGAGAGAGAGAAAGAGGAGGAGAGGGGGGGGUGGAGAGAGAGAAAGAGAGGAGAGAGGAGGAGAGAGAGAAAGGGGGAGGAGAGAGAGGAGAAAGAGGGUGGAGGAGAGAGAAGGGGGUGGAGAGAGAGGAGAAAGAGGAGGAGAGAGAAGGGGGGAGAGGGGAGAGGGGAAAGAGGAGGAGAGAGAAGGGGGGUGGAGAGAGAGGAGAGAGAGGGAAAGAGGAGGAGAGAGAAGGGGGUGGAGAGAGAGGAGAAAGAGGAGGAGAGAGAAGGGGGGUGGAGAGAGAGGAGAAAGAGGAGAAGAGAGGAGAGAGGGGAGAAAGAUUAGGAGAGAGGGGAGAAAGAGGAGGAGAGAGCGAGUCUCCAGGCAGUUUUUAUUUUUUUAUUUUUUUUAUUUCACCUUUAUUUAACCAGGUAGGCAAGUUGAGAACAAGUUCUCAUUUACAACUGCGACCUGGCCAAGAU
Oncorhynchus tshawytscha (Chinook salmon) is the source of this 544-nucleotide long non-coding RNA. The record is from Ensembl. NCBI's taxonomy places the organism in Eukaryota, Metazoa, Chordata, Actinopteri, Salmoniformes, Salmonidae.